UAGGGAAUAUUGGACAAUGGGGGCAACCCUGAUCCAGCCAUGCCGCGUGAGUGAAGAAGGCCCUCGGGUUGUAAAGCUCUUUUGUCCGGAAAGAAAAGCAUUCGGUGAAUACCCGGAUGUUCUGACGGUACCGGAAGAAUAAGCACCGGCUAACUUCGUGCCAGCAGCCGCGGUAAUACGAAGGGUGCAAGCGUUACUCGGAAUUACUGGGCGUAAAGCGUGCGUAGGUGGUUGUUUAAGUCUGAUGUGAAAGCCCUGGGCUCAACCUGUGAAUGGCAUUGGAAACUGGGCAGCUAGAGUGCGGUAGAGGGUAGUGGAAUUCCCGGUGUAGCAGUGAAAUGCGUAGAGAUCGGGAGGAACAUCUGUGGCGAAGGCGACUGCCUGGACCAGCACUGACACUGAGGCACGAAAGCGUGGGGAGCAAACA
This 427-nucleotide ribosomal RNA is filed under the name uncultured bacterium. RNAcentral describes it as "bacterial SSU rRNA". It matches the Rfam family "Bacterial small subunit ribosomal RNA", at positions 355 to 774 of the family's 1533-position model. The record is from RNAcentral.